GCACAAGCGGUGGAGCAUGUGGUUUAAUUCGAAGAUACGCGAAAACCUUACCUGGCCUUGAUAUCCUUCAAAUCCUGUAGAGAUACGGGAGUGCUAGCUUGCUAGAAUGAAGUGACAGGUGCUGCACGGCUGUCGUCAGCUCGUGUCGUGAGAUGUUGGGUUAAGUCCCGCAACGAGCGCAACCCUCGUGUUUAGUUGCUAACAGUUCGGCUGAGCACUCUAAACAGACUGCCUUCGUAAGGAGGAGGAAGGUGAGGACGACGUCAAGUCAUCAUGGCCCUUAUGGCCAGGGCUACACACGUGCUACAAUGGAUAGGACAAUGAGACGCAAUACCGCGAGGUGGAGCAAAUCUAUAAACCUAUUCUCAGUUCGGAUUGUUCUCUGCAACUCGAGAACAUGAAGCUGGAAUCGCUAGUAAUCGUAGAUCAGCAUUGCUACGGUGAAUACGUUCCCGGGUCUU
This 461-nucleotide ribosomal RNA is filed under the name uncultured Sulfurospirillum sp. RNAcentral's name for it is "bacterial SSU rRNA". It matches the Rfam family "Bacterial small subunit ribosomal RNA", at positions 923 to 1382 of the family's 1533-position model. The record is from RNAcentral. Lineage: Bacteria; Pseudomonadati; Campylobacterota; Epsilonproteobacteria; Campylobacterales; Sulfurospirillaceae.